This 294-nucleotide long non-coding RNA is filed under the name Rattus norvegicus (Norway rat). RNAcentral's name for it is "long non-coding RNA NONRATT031334". The record is from RNAcentral. Lineage: Eukaryota; Metazoa; Chordata; Mammalia; Rodentia; Muridae.
GAGCAGAGCCCGAGCCACCAGAGCCGACCAACUGUGGCAUAUCUCACUUAUGAGCAAAUGAAUGAAAAUGACAAGCGCUCAGCACCGGCGGCAGCGGAGGCAGUUCCAACAUGCGCCAAUAUUGCCACAGUUCCUAUUGAAGAUGUGGACACUCCUAGACCCCAAGUGGGUCCAAAGACCUAAGUGACAUCAAUGACUGGGUCUGGGAGCUGAGAUACAUCAGGAUGUCAAGUCCAUGUCUUACCACGUACUAGUUUGUAUGAUGGUGACAAUAAAAUCAAUCAGAUGUGAAAA